Cucurbita moschata (crookneck pumpkin) is the source of this 568-nucleotide long non-coding RNA. RefSeq lists it as uncharacterized. The transcript has 3 exons. Lineage: Eukaryota; Viridiplantae; Streptophyta; Magnoliopsida; Cucurbitales; Cucurbitaceae. The record is from RefSeq and is a predicted model, not a curated record.
GUCAUUUAAGCAGAAGGAAGGCCUUCCGUUGCUGAAGAGAGCCAACUCCGAGCCCCUCGUACACCGAUGGCAGUGAAGUGGUCUUCUAUUUGAUGAGAUUGUUUCCCGGCUUAUAAUUACCACCACUCCACACACAGUCCCUCAUCACUUUCCCCAUUUCUUUAAUCAUCUUGAUCAGAACCAUUUGGAGCAAAAAAAGGUAAAUAGGUAUGCUAUUCAAGAUGCUUAGAUGUAGCCCACAAUCGAAAUAUGUCGAAACAAACAGCUGAAGCAAGAAGAAUAAGGGGAGAGCUUUUGAAUAGAGUAGCUAAACACUUAUGACUUUUAAUUCUCUUUGUUGGUGUGAAAUGAGCAUACACCUCAUGAGUAUUUAGAGUGGAGAAGGAUGUUUCCUAAACUUUCUCCACAAGUUAGCAACUACUAACAAUUCUCCUUAACAAAAGACUAAUCAUUUUCCUAAACUUAUUCAAGUUAAUAACUCCUAAACAAUUAUCCUAAAAUUUCUCUAAGUUAAUAACUUUUUUUGCUAAGUCAAGCUUAUUAACUCACAAUAAUAAUCGAAAACAAA